AUUGUAGUCUGCAACCCGACUACAUGAAGCUGGAAUCGCUAGUAAUCGCGAAUCAGAAUGUCGCGGUGAAUACGUUCCCGGGUCUUGUACACACCGCCCGUCACACCAUGGGAGUCGGAUAUGCCCGAAGCCGGUGACCUAACCGCAAGGAAGGAGCCGUCGAAGGUGGAGCCGAUGACUGGGGUGAAGUCGUAACAAGGUAGC
Molecule: ribosomal RNA, 204 nt
Filed under: uncultured bacterium
Lineage: Bacteria
Description: partial 16S ribosomal RNA
Rfam family: Bacterial small subunit ribosomal RNA
Source: RNAcentral